ACCAAAUAGAUACCCCGGUAGUCCACGCCCUAAACGAUGCGAACUGGAUGUUGGGUACAUUACGGUACUCAGUGUCGAAAGCCAAACGCGUUAAGUUCGCCGCCUGGGGAGUACGGUCGCAAGACUGAAACUCAAAGGAAUUGACGGGGGCCCGCACUAGCGGUGGAGUAUGUGGUUUAAUUCGAUGCAACGCGAAGAACCUUACCUGGCCUUGACAUCUGUCGAAUCCUGCAGAGAUGCGGGAGUGCCGCAAGGAACGACAAGACAGGUGCUGCAUGGCUGUCGUCAGCUCGUGUCGUGAGAUGUUGGGUUAAGUCCCGCAACGAGCGCAACCCUUGUCCCUAGUUGCCAGCACGUAAUGGUGGGAACUCUAGGGAGACUGCCGGUGACAAACCGGAGGAAGGUGGGGAUGACGUCAAGUCCUCAUGGCCCUUACGGCCAGGGCUACACACGUACUACAAUGGUCGGUACAGA
This 474-nucleotide ribosomal RNA is filed under the name uncultured bacterium. Its description in RNAcentral is "bacterial SSU rRNA". It matches the Rfam family "Bacterial small subunit ribosomal RNA", at positions 771 to 1243 of the family's 1533-position model. The record is from RNAcentral.